Ictalurus punctatus (channel catfish) is the source of this 1217-nucleotide long non-coding RNA. The record is from Ensembl. Lineage: Eukaryota; Metazoa; Chordata; Actinopteri; Siluriformes; Ictaluridae.
ACAAGCACUGUUGAUUUUUAUACAUUUAUACUAAAUGUGUGAUAAACCUAUCUUGGCUUAUAUUAUUAAUGAAAUCUUCAAGGAAGUAAGGAGAUUCAGGGUGCAAGUCACUGCCAUACUUUAUUCCGUGGCUGUGUUUACAUGCACAUAACUAUUGCGAUAUCAAUCAGAAUUUGGCAAUAUUCGAAUUAGUACCGAGUUAUUUAAAGGCCGCAGUCACAUUGCUUUGUUCAGAUUAAGACAAUAUUCUGAUUCCCCAAAUUCUGAUUGUAUAAAUGUUGUAUUCGGAAUUUGUCUGCGACCUGAAUAUAGACCUUAAACGGAAUUACUAACAUUGAAAGGGAAUGAUUUAGAAGACAAAGAUUCGUUGUUGUUGUUGUUGUUGUUGUUGUUGUUGUUGUUGUUGUUUUUAAUGAAUGACAGAGAUAUAUUGGUUACUUCUGGAGAGCAUGUGACAUUAUGAUAGGCACAACAUUCUUUAUUAAAUGCAUAUUAAAAAUUCAGGAAAUUGUAAUAUACAUUCUUGAAUACCUCACCACAACCCAUUACUCAACACAACCAUUCUUAAUAUAAAAAGAAACUAGAACCCUUGCUGUCCUGAAGCAAUAAUAAAGCUGUACACGACUCCCAGACAGAAAUCUUUUGAAGUAGCGUUAGCUAUGAUUGGAGUACAUGACAAAAAACAUGAUAAGCGGUUACUGAACGUACCGUAAGUGUGAUUGUGCGAGUACAUAGAAAUAAAGUCAGGAUAACAUUUGAGUCCCGUACAAUUGAUCUGGCCAUUUCAGCCACACUCUGCAAAGUAGUCUGAGGGCUCCACUGACAGACACUCCUGUAGGAACAUCAUCCGCACCCUGUGAAAUACAGCAGAGACUCAGUGAGCGAUGAAGCAUCAGACACGUCGACGUUAAAAACUGCAUGUACAGACGAGUGUGUUGUGUUUAUCGCACAGAAACAGUGUCUUAAGGUCCGUUAAGGUUUGCGCUGAAUGUUAACACUAGGCCAGGUUUAACCUGGCUUGAAUCGGCACAUAAAAAGACAUUACACGUCUGGAUUUGACUCCAGUAUGCAUUUUAUUUGGCCUAGAUAUUUCAUUUUAUGUUCCGUAUAUUAUCAUCAUAGUCAUCUUUCGGAUGUCUUUAAAUAAAUAAAUAACAUAAAAUUCUCUCACAGCCAGAAUUGACAUGUCCCAUUCUCACCAAAGAUAUAUUUUCUGU